This 238-nucleotide ribosomal RNA is filed under the name Clostridioides difficile. RNAcentral describes it as "partial 23S ribosomal RNA". It matches the Rfam family "Bacterial large subunit ribosomal RNA", at positions 1456 to 1692 of the family's 2925-position model. The record is from RNAcentral. Lineage: Bacteria; Bacillati; Bacillota; Clostridia; Peptostreptococcales; Peptostreptococcaceae.
UUUGAGAGAUGGGAUGACACAGUAGGAUAAGCUAAGCACACUGUUGGUUAUGUGUGCCCAAGCAUUGAGGCAGUCAGAGUAGGUAAAUCCGCUUUGAUAAUGCUGGGAUGUGAUGGGGAGCGAAAUUUAGUAGCGAAGUAGCUGAUUUCACACUGUCAAGAAAAGUCUCUAUCGAGGUUAAAGGUACCCGUACCGCAAACCGACACAGGUGGGUGAGGAGAGUAUCCUAAGGCCCGCG